GAACGAACGCUGGCGGCAGGCCUAACACAUGCAAGUCGAGGGAGAAGCCACUUCGGUGGUGGAGACCGGCGCACGGGUGAGUAACACGUGGGAAUGUACCCUUGAGUCCAGGAUAACCGCUGGAAACGGCGGCUAAUACUGGAUAACGGCUCCGGCCCAAAGUUCCGGCGCUCAAGGAUCAGCCCGCGUCUGAUUAGGUAGUUGGUGGGGUAAAAGCCUACCAAGCCGACGAUCAGUAGCUGGUUUGAGAGGAUGAUCAGCCACACUGGUACUGAGACACGGACCAGACUCCUACGGGAGGCAGCAGUCAGGAAUAUUGGACAAUGGGCGCAAGCCUGAUCCAGCCAUGCCGCGUGAGUGAAGAAGGCCUUCGGGUUGUAAAGCUCUUUCAGAUGUGAAGAUGAUGACGGUAACAUCAGAAGAAGCCCCGGCUAACUUCGUGCCAGCAGCCGCGGUAAUACGAAGGGGGCGAGCGUUGUUCGGAAUCACUGGGCGUAAAGCGUACGUAGGCGGAAUGGAAAGUCAGAAGUGAAAGCCCAGGGCUUAACCUUGGAACUGCUUUUGAAACUUCUAUUCUAGAGUUCGGGAGAGGAUAGCGGAAUUUCCAGUGUAGAGGUGAAAUUCGCAGAUAUUGGAAGGAACACCGGUGGCGAAGGCGGCUAUCUGGACCGAUACUGACGCUGAGGUACGACAGCGUGGGGAGCAAACAGGAUUAGAUACCCUGGUAGUCCACGCCGUAAACGAUGUGUGCUAGCUGUUGGGCAGUAUUCUGUUCAGUGGCGCAGCUAACGCAUUAAGCACACCGCCUGGGGAGUACGGUCGCAAGAUUCAAACUCAAAGGAAUUGACGGGGACCCGCACAAGCGGUGGAGCAUGUUGUUUAAUUCGAAGCAACGCGAAGAACCUUACCCACCCUUGACAUCCCGAUCGCGGAUCGCAGAGAUGCUUUCCUUCAGUUCGGCUGGAUCGGUGACAGGUGCUGCAUGGCUGUCGUCAGCUCGUGUCGUGAGAUGUUGGGUUAAGUCCUGCAACGAGCGCAACCCUUGUCGUAUGUUGCCAUCGGGUAAUGCCGGGCACUCGUGCGAGACUGCCGGUGAUAAGCCGGAGGAAGGUAGGGACGAGGUCAAGUCAUCAUGGCCCUUACGGGUGGGGCUACAAACGUGCUACAAUGGCUGUAACAAUGGGCAGCUACUCUGCGAAGAGGUGCUAAUCCCAAAAAGCAGUCUCAGUUCGGAUCGUACUCUGCAACUCGAGUGCAUGAAGUCGGAAUCGCUAGUAAUCGUGGAUCAGCAUGCCACGGUGAUACGUUCCCGGGUCUUGUACACACCGCCCGUCACGUCAUGGGAGUUGGUUCUACCCGAAGGCGGUAGGCUAACCUUGUAGGAGGCAGCCGACCACGGUAGGAUCA
This 1407-nucleotide ribosomal RNA is filed under the name uncultured organism. RNAcentral describes it as "bacterial SSU rRNA". It matches the Rfam family "Bacterial small subunit ribosomal RNA". The record is from RNAcentral.